RNAcentral lists this long non-coding RNA (2812 nucleotides) under Homo sapiens (human). Lineage: Eukaryota; Metazoa; Chordata; Mammalia; Primates; Hominidae. The record is from RNAcentral.
CUUUGUCUUUUUCUUUUAUUUUCUUUUGAGCGAUUGUGCGAACAUAGCAUAGCACGCACUAUGCCUUCUGUGUUGUAGCUGCCUGGCCAGGGCGACUGGCGGAUAAGGUCUUGUGCGUGGCCUCGAGGCUUAAAAGUAGCAGUGGGGCUUUGUGAAGGACAAAAUGGCGAUGGCGGGCCGUGUAGGUCCCCCUUCCUAUGAUGAGGACCUUUUCACAGACCUGUACUGAGCUCCGUGAGGAUAAAUAACUCUGAGGAGAUGGGCCCUGCAAGCCUCUUGCUUAGCCGUCUGUUCAGAAAAUAGCGUUUUCGAAAUGCCCUGAGUUGACCUAAUGUCUUAUUGGGCUCCUGUCUGCAGGAUUUACGCGCACGUUGGAACCGAAGAGAGCUCUGUUGUUGCAAUGUUCAGCCCACAAGAGCUUACUGGUGAAGGAAUGGGACAAGACCCAUCUUUAUGCAAAGCCAGCGUUACAGUAAUGUUCCAGGUAGGUGUACAUGGUUUAUGCUCUUACAGAGGAGACCUUGUAGAUAACCACUCCAUGAUGAACACAAAAUGACAAGCAUAUGGCUGAACUUUCAAGUGAUGUCAUCUUACUACUGAGAAGUGAGAGAGAGGUCUUAAGGGGUCUUUGAAUGACUAUUUUUAGGUACAUAAAAUGCUUUCCUCUGUUGUCUACAGCAUCUCAUAAUCUAUCCUGGGGAAUUCAGCUGCCUCCCAGGGUGAAUACAGGUAAUUAUCCAAAUUGGUGUAUGUCAUCUUUGUAAAUGUUCAAGAAAACAAGUGGCCGGCGGAACAAUGUUUUUUGGCGCCUUCCAUCUUGUUCCUCUUGAAAUGAUUUUCUGGGGAGGGAGAUCGCAACCCGGUACUACAGUUCUUGUAAGGGUGUGCUGUUACCCUCAUCCAUAUAUCGAUCACGUUACUGUCAGAUGAUUUGAAUUGAUAAGCUGAUGUUCUGUGAGGUACAAAAGUUAAUAGCAUGUUAGAGUUCUGAUGGCAGUUGUUGUUUAUGAAUAAGCUUCAUUCCAUCCUAAUACCUUAAAAUAACUAAUUUGCUUUCCUUUCCAGGUAUUCCUGAUGACAGUCUGCCUCUAUCUUACAGUAAGUUGUUUUUCGAAUUCUAUGGGCCUAUUAUCUAAUAGAUAACUUAGCCAUUUUGAUAUUUGUUACCAAAGCCUGCUUAACCCAUAAAGUUUUCUGGUUCCUCUUGUUCUCUGUAGUGAUGUUUCUAGAUAGAUGCCCACUGAUAUAUGCCCCUUUUUUCUCAGAUAGAUGCCCACUGAUCUGCCCAGGGUCAGACGAAUGCUUGUCAGUUGUAGCUUUCCAGGAUUCUGCUCCAAUGAGGAGGAAACAUCCUGCCUUACCCCUGUUUUAGCCUGGGAACCAGUAAUUGUGAACUCACCAGGGUUAACAUGAAGAGGGCAUGAGAGCUUAUUCCAUAAGGAAUUGUCUGAGACAUUUGGUUACCUUUUCUUAGUUUGUCCAUUAGCAACCGUAACUAAAAUAGUUUUGGCUGUUUGGGAUAAUUAGCUAAUUGAAUGAUUUUUUGAUUCAGGAGCAGCUUGUUGCUAUAUACCAUUGAAAAGCCUUCAGAGCUGAGAGGUUAGUUGAUAUUUUUUGUUCCUUACAGCUUAUGCCACCAAGUAGGCAGUUUCUAUGAUGAAUCAAACUAGCUCACUAUGACCGACAGUGAAAAUACAUGAACACCUGAGAAACUGGAGAACGCAGGGAGUGGGGGGUAACCAUGUCUGAGGAAUCUUUCACCCACAGCUUUGUUUUUCUCUAGGUACUACUAACCAAUAACCUGCUUGGCUCAAAGGUGAGUAAUUUCACGGUAUUCAAUGCACUCAGUAUAUAGGGUAGGAAAAAGUGCCUUUUUAGGCCUGUGUUUGUGAUGACUUACAUGGAAUCUCGUUCGGCUGAUGACUUGCUGUUGAGACUCUGAAAUCUGAUUUUCUGAGAAUGAUGGGUGGGAACAACAUAAUGCGGGAUAUGAGAAGCACUACUGACUUGGUCUUCCUCCUUUCAGGGCCAGCACCUUCUCUCUAAAGCCCAAGAGGAGUUUGAGGAAAACUAGGUGUCUGUGUUCACUCCAGGCUGAAGUUACAGGUCUGAGCAAAUAAGGUGUAUAAAAAAUGGAAUCUGUCUUGGAGGACAUCAGAAGGUGAAUUUUCCAAGUUCUUGGACAACCUAGCUGUUGAAAAGCUUUCUGGGUUUGGGGGGUAUUUCAGAUGUACCUUAAAGUGUUAGCAGACACAGAUUAAGACACUGGGAGCCAAUGAAACAGCAGUUGAGGGUUUGCUGUGUAUCACAUUUCUGUAUUUUAUCACCCCCUUCCUGCAACAUUAUUUAUCUGGAAUCUACCUGCCCUUUUGUUUUUUAGAUACAAGGGCUUGGUUUUGUUACCCAGGCUGGUUUCAAGGCCAUAGCUUUAAGAGAUCCUCUCACCACAGAUUUCCAAAGUGCUGGGAUUGCAGGUGUGAUUCAUGGCACCCAGACUUUGCUGCCUUUCUUACAUGAUCCAGGCCCAGAACCCAAACUCAGGCACUGUAUAGAUGACCACUUUCGUAAACUACUGACCUAGCUUGUUGCCAAUUGUUGAUUGAACUUCCCAUAACUCCACUUCGUGUCUGUUCCUCUGUAUACAGCCACCUUCUGUUCCCGUCAUGAGCCUUUAGGUCUCCAUUUGCAUAUUGCAAAUACUAUGUUCCAUGUAGGUAGCUCAUUCAGGGCCUUGCUCUUCACUUCAAAAAAGGUUCCCUUGAGGACUGGCUGUCAAUUUGUGUUGCUGUGUUGGUUGUUGAUGAAAAUAAUA